AGCAGGGGGCGGCGAGACACUGCUGAGGAUGCGGAGACUCCUCUGUGGAGCUCAUUCGGGACCACAGGGCACAGCCAACGUUUUCUGCAGGCUGGGACUGACACUCUUGUCUGUAUCAGGGAACAGGCUAACAAUGUGGGCCAUGCAAUGCCCAGCAGCAGCAGCAGCCCCAGACCGCAGUCGGCCACGUGAUCACUCGGCUUCACAUCCGGUGAAGCCAUGGGUCCACUAGCCUGAGGGUGACAGAACCUAUAGAUGAAACAACCGUCUUCGUAUCUAUGGACUAUGGAAAGUUCCUUCAGUUUGAAUCAUCAGCCAGACUUGCAGCAUUGACAAUUAGAAAAUCAACACGUCAAUCGAGCCUAAACAGCACUGAAUAUGCUCUGGGUUCUUCAGCUCCAAACAGCCAAGAUCUAAUUGUGUACAAGUAAUCAGUCCAAACUGGAACCAGCACUCUACUUGUCAGAUUCCUGGUGACUCCGCCUGCACUGGCCUACCCACUUAAUCUCUUCAGUUUAGCUUCAUAUCGUCUCUGACUCCAGGACAGCAGAGCAAUGCUUGAGGUGCUCACGUCAUAUCCAGCAUGUGCCAACUCUCUGAUGCGAGUUUUUAAAAUCCCACCGUUUUGAAAGACUUUCAGGAGUGCGUGUUAUGGCUCGUGGAUAUCUUGAUAUGAUGCUACCAAUCACUUUGUCACUUGCUCUUUGAAUAGAAGGAACAUCUUCAGCUCCUGCUCAUUCGUAAAAC
Long non-coding RNA from Rattus norvegicus (Norway rat), 747 nucleotides. The record is from Ensembl. Lineage: Eukaryota; Metazoa; Chordata; Mammalia; Rodentia; Muridae.